This 388-nucleotide unclassified non-coding RNA is filed under the name uncultured bacterium. Its description in RNAcentral is "contains 16S-23S intergenic spacer region". The record is from RNAcentral.
UCCCCGUUUAACAGGGCAGUCUGACUAUAGUGCGCCGGACCGAAAUCCGGGUAGCAAAUAGACAUAAGGGUUGCGCUCGUUGCGGGACUUAACCCAACAUCUCACGACACGAGCUGACGACAGCCAUGCAGCACCUGUGCAGGUUACACCUUGCGGCAAUCCCCCUACUUUCAUAGGGUUAAUCCCUGCAUGUCAAGGCCAGGUAAGGUUCUUCGCGUAGCAUCGAAUUAAGCCACAUGCUCCACCGCUUGUGCGGGUCCCCGUCAAUUCCUUUGAGUUUUAGCCUUGCGGCCGUACUCCCCAGGCGGUGCACUUAACGCGUUAGCUUCGGCACAAGAGGGGUUGAAUCCUCUUACACCAAGUGCACACCGUUUACGGCUAGGACUAC